This is a non-coding RNA of Zychaea mexicana, 73 nucleotides long. NCBI's taxonomy places the organism in Eukaryota, Fungi, Mucoromycota, Mucoromycetes, Mucorales, Lichtheimiaceae. The record is from the annotation of a RefSeq genome assembly.
GCUUGAGUAGCUCAGUUGGGAGAGCGUUAGACUGAAGAUCUAAAGGUCAUGUGUUCAAUCCACAUCUCGAGCA